This 517-nucleotide ribosomal RNA is filed under the name uncultured fungus. RNAcentral describes it as "SSU rRNA". It matches the Rfam family "Eukaryotic small subunit ribosomal RNA", at positions 209 to 726 of the family's 1831-position model. The record is from RNAcentral. Lineage: Eukaryota; Fungi.
AUUAGAUAAAAAACCAAUGCCCUUCGGGGCUCCUUGGUGAUUCAUAAUAACUUGUCGAAUCGCAUGGCCUUGCGCUGGCGAUGGUUCAUUCAAAUUUCUGCCCUAUCAACUUUCGAUGGUAGGAUAGUGGCCUACCAUGGUGGCAACGGGUAACGGGGAAUUAGGGUUCGAUUCCGGAGAGGGAGCCUGAGAAACGGCUACCACAUCCAAGGAAGGCAGCAGGCGCGCAAAUUACCCAAUCCCGAUACGGGGAGGUAGUGACAAUAAAUACUGAUACGGGGCUCUUUCGGGUCUCGUAAUUGGAAUGAGAAAAAUUUAAAUCACUUAACGAGGAACAAUUGGAGGGCAAGUCUGGUGCCAGCAGCCGCGGUAAUUCCAGCUCCAAUAGCGUAUAUUAAAGUUGUUGCAGUUAAAAAGCUCGUAGUUGAACCUUGGGCCUGGCUGGCCGGUCCGCCUCACGGCGUGCACUGGUCCGGCUGGGCCUUUCCUCCUGGGGAAUCCCAUGGCCUUCACUGGC